Molecule: non-coding RNA, 884 nt
Organism: Leptonychotes weddellii (Weddell seal)
Lineage: Eukaryota; Metazoa; Chordata; Mammalia; Carnivora; Phocidae
Source: RefSeq, a predicted model, not a curated record
AGGGCGGCGGGCGGAAGGCAGGAGGCUGCCGGGGCGCGGGCUGCUGCGGGGGAAGGGACCCUGAGGCGUCUGCCGCGGUUCGCUCUGUCAGCCGCGCGGGAUUGGGGCGCAAGGGUCAUGGACGUUCUCCCCUGAGACGGAGGUCGCGGGCUGGGGGCGGGGGGAGGAGGCCCGGGAGAGGUUGACGCGGAGGCCGCGGGCCGGUGACUGGGCGCGAGGCGGCCGGCGGCGGCGGCACCACCACAGACACCACCAUGUCGCGCUCCGUGCUGCAGCCCAGUCAGCAGAAGCUGGCGGAGAAGCUCACCAUCCUCAACGACCGGGGCGUCGGCAUGCUGACUCGCCUCUACAACAUCAAACGGGCAUGUGGAGAUCCCAAGGCAAAACCAUCCUACCUUAUUGACAAAAACCUGCAAUCUGCUGUGAAAUUCAUAGUCAGAAAGUUCCCUGCUGUAGAAACUCGCAACAACAAUCAACAGCUUGCACAGCUACAGAAAGAAAAAUCAGAGAUUCUGAAAAAUCUGGCAUUAUACUACUUCACAUUUGUAGAUGUUAUGGAAUUUAAGGACCAUGUUUGUGAAUUGCUGAAUACUAUUGAUGUUUGCCAAGUCUUCUUCGAUAUUACUGUAAACUUUGAUUUAACAAAGAACUACUUAGAUUUGAUCAUAACCUAUACAACACUAAUGAUACUGCUGUCUCGAAUUGAAGAAAGGAAGGCAAUCAUUGGAUUAUACAACUAUGCUCAUGAAAUGACCCAUGGACUGUUCUUCUUACUCACACUAGGCAAUGAGGAAGCCAUGGACAUGAGGAUGUUGAGCUUUGGGUUCUCCUCCAAACAACUUGAGAGCUAUGCUGGGGCUUUUGCUGUGGCAUCUAAAUUUUAG